This 498-nucleotide ribosomal RNA is filed under the name uncultured bacterium. RNAcentral describes it as "partial 16S ribosomal RNA". It matches the Rfam family "Bacterial small subunit ribosomal RNA", at positions 28 to 507 of the family's 1533-position model. The record is from RNAcentral.
GACGAACGCUGGCGGCGUGCCUAAUACAUGCAAGUCGAGCGGACGGAUGGGAGCUUGCUCCCAGACCGUCAGCGGCGGACGGGUGAGUAACACGUGGGCAACCUGCCUGUAAGACUGGGAUAACUCCGGGAAACCGGGGCUAAUACCGGAUAACUCUCUCCCUCACAUGAGGGAAAGCUGAAAGAUGGCAUCUCGCUAUCACUUACAGAUGGGCCCGCGGCGCAUUAGCUAGUUGGUGAGGUAACGGCUCACCAAGGCGACGAUGCGUAGCCGACCUGAGAGGGUGAUCGGCCACACUGGGACUGAGACACGGCCCAGACUCCUACGGGAGGCAGCAGUAGGGAAUCUUCCGCAAUGGACGAAAGUCUGACGGAGCAACGCCGCGUGAGUGAUGAAGGUUUUCGGAUCGUAAAACUCUGUUGUCAGGGAAGAACAAGUACCGGAGUAACUGCCGGUACCUUGACGGUACCUGACCAGAAAGCCACGGCUAACUACGUG